GGUAUAAAUUGAUUCGAUGAAUAGUCACAAUAAUGCAUUUAAGAACAGUCAUUAGUUUUUAGCUUUUUGAAAAAUCUUGGAAGCCUUAUAUACUUUGUAGAUGACAUGGCUAUUUUCAGAAUACAAUUCAAACCUUUCAUUAUUGUAAUAGGACUCUCCAUAGUGAUUGCUAUAGUUUCACUUUUGGCUUUUAUCUCAAAACGCAACGAUGAAAAUGAAAUGCCCGAUCCGCAAUUCGAAUUGGCCACGUCGAGUAUGCCGAUGGGCUUGUACAACAAAGCCGGAGUAGUGUCAAAUGGUGGACCGUGCGCACAAAUCGGAGUGGACGUGAUGGCGAAAGGUGGAAAUGCCGUUGAUGCUGCUAUAGCUACAAUGAUAUGUGACGGUGCUUCAUGCCCUCAAUUCAUGGGUUUGGGUGGAGGAUUUGUUAUGACUAUAUACAACGCUACGACUAAAAAAGUAAUGUCAAUCAAUGCCCGUGAAAUGGCACCAAAGGCGGCAACUGAAUCCAUGUUUGUAAAAGAACCUACACUUUCUGUAUAUGGUGGUUUGGCGGUUGCAGUUCCGGGAGAAGUUAAAGGCUAUAUGACUGUCUAUAAUAGAUUCGGUGGUAAUGUUUCAUGGGCAUCACUAUUUGAGCCAACUAUAAAGUUAUGUGAAGAAGGCAUGCUGAUUAGCGAACGUUUCGCAAUAAGUUUAAAAAAUAAAGAAGAAUUGAUCAAAAAUGACACGAUUCUUAGAAAAACUUUUUUCGACGAAAAAACUGGACAUGUAAAGACAAUCGGAGAAAUGUACACAUUACCCAAGUUAGCAGAAACUAUGAAAGUCAUAGCAAAGGAAGGUGGUGAUGCCUUAUACAAUGGUACGUUAGCUGAUAAAUUAUUAGAUGACUUAAAAAAAGUAAAUGGGAUAAUGACAAGAGAAGAUUUAGCCGCCUACGCAGUCAAAGUCGAAAAAUCUUUUUCUGUUAAAUUAAAAAGUGGACAUACAAUACACACGGGGCCACCACCUGGUUCCGGUGUAAUAUUAGCUUACAUACUGCGUGUGUUGGAUGGUUUGUUACCAGCACCCAAUGAAGGUUUGGACGCUCACCGAAUUGUGGAAGCUUUCAAAUUUGGUUACGGCGAGAGAACCCAAUUAGGAGAUGCUAUGUUUGUAAACGUGUCUGCAAUUUACGAUAAAGUCAAGUCGGAUAGUUACAUGGAUAAAAUACGUAGUCAAAUAUUCGAUAAUUUCACUUCGGCAGAUCCUAAGUACUACGGAGCUAAUUUUAGUAUCCCAGAAAACCACGGAACUGGCAAUUUGGCUGUGAUCGAUUCAAUGGGAAACGUUGUCAUAAGUACAUGUACCAUAAACACAUAUUUUGGUUCCGGUUUCACCUCUCCCAGUACCGGUAUUAUUCUGAAUAACGAAAUGGACGAUUUCUCGACUCCGGGAGGCGUCAACUCUUACGAUUUUCCAUCUUCGCCGGCCAAUUACAUUGAACCGUACAAACAGCCAAUGUCUUCGAUGUGUCCAAGUAUAUUCACGGACAAAAACGGAGAUUUUGCUUUCGCUGUGGGAGCAGCGGGAGGGUCAAAAAUCACUCUUGCGACCGCCUACGUGUCUGCUUAUAAAUUAUGGUACAAUAAGACACUGAAAGAAGCUAUAGACAAACCAAGAAUUUUUCACCAACUUGUACCUAUGCAAAUUCAAUAUGAAUACGGAAUGACUAAAGAUGUAAUACAAACACUUAAAGAUAUUGGUCACCCAGUGACCCGAUUGCCAAAUAAUAGAUUUUCAGCAUCAACAGCUAUUGCUAAAACGAUUUCUGGAAUGAUAGAAGUUAUGCCAGAUUAUCGACGACCAGGAAAUUGCUCUGGAUACUAAAACCAUUAUAAUAAUUUUUAAAAAUGUGUAAAUUAUUGUAUAAUAUAUCCUACCAAACACACUUCGUGUAAUUAAAAGAUAUAUAACAUGGAGUUAGAACGAAGGGAUUUUUGGUGUCAUAUCAGCUAUUUUUUUUAUAAAAAAAGUCAUAAUUUUAUAAUAAUAAUCCAGCUAGCAUCGUUGGCAAUCGUUGUACAUUAUACGUCGUCGUCAUCGCCGAAAUUAGGUAGUGCGGACUAAUAAACGGCAGAUCGGGAGACAUAUCAUUUUACGAUAUUUCCGUAACGUACUCAAAAUCAGUCUUAAAAGUAUUUGAUACUUAUACGGCUUUAUAUGUUCAGCCGUUUGCCCUGUAGAACUGGCUGACGGAUUAACAACAAUUAAAACGGUAUUUAAAUAUUAAAAAUAUAUUUCCUGUUAUAAUACGUUGGUGAUUAGUACGAUAUUAUUAUUAUUAUUUUUUUUUUUACUUAGUUUCACGCCACUACCCUCGCACUGAAAUAAUUUGAAAAUUACAAAAUAUAACUAUUAUAUAUUAUAAUUACGUCUAUUGUCUAUGUUCUCUACUUAUAUACCAUCCUGUAAUAUAUUAUAUGACUUUUUUAUCUAUUGUCUAUCUAUUUUCGACCUUUGUUUAUACUAAUAUGCUUUAUGUUAGAUAACCUAUACACUCAAAUUUUUUAAUGCAGUGGUAAAUUUAGUGCCAUGACGAUUGUUUUAAAGCAAUAAUUAAUUUUGACACGUACAUUUUUACAUUGUAAUAGUGUGAUCUGAUAAAAGUCAUUUGUCAACCUCACCCAACCUUAUAAUAAUAUUAUAAUGUAUUGAAUAUAUUUUAUAUACCCUAAGAUUA
This is an RNA transcript of Aphis gossypii (cotton aphid), 2722 nucleotides long. It is a transcript of the gene named scoloptoxin SSD14-like, with no coding region annotated. NCBI's taxonomy places the organism in Eukaryota, Metazoa, Arthropoda, Insecta, Hemiptera, Aphididae. The transcript has 11 exons. The record is from RefSeq and is a predicted model, not a curated record.